This 468-nucleotide long non-coding RNA is filed under the name Felis catus (domestic cat). RNAcentral describes it as "lncRNA (ENSFCAG00000044425.2)". Lineage: Eukaryota; Metazoa; Chordata; Mammalia; Carnivora; Felidae. The record is from RNAcentral.
UAGGCAUGAAACAAUGGGAAUUGUUUCCCUCCUCAUUCUAUGUUCCUUUUUGGAAUUCCAUCACUCACCUCAACAGGAUUCCUUGGGACAAGAAAAUGAUGCCCACAGCAUGCAGGGAAAUCAUGGUAGCUGCACUGAGGGGAAGAAAAACAGCCCAGGGGCACAUCCACCAAGUAUUCGCAGAAUCUAAGCUAUAAAGCAUUUCUGCAAUAAGGUAAAACACAAGGGGAUUAGAAAAGAGUUGAAUGAGUCAAUAUCUACCAUAUGCUGCAUUCUGCAUAUUAUCUACAACCAAGGUAAACAAUUUUAUAAACAUUUCAUAAAAGCUAUUAUGGCAUGAAGAUGUAAAGUUACCAGUGGGCAAAAAUGUCAGUUGGAAAUUAGAUGUAGCCCCAAUUUGUAUUAAUUUUAGAUAUGUAAAAUAUUACUGAACUAGUCCUUAUUUAGUAUAUAAUAUCUUAACUGAGG